GAUUUUAAAAUUUUCAUAAAAAUAAAAUGUUUUGAUUACAACGACUCAUCCUACUAAACUUCAACCAUAAAAACCAACAGACUCGAAUAAAGAAACUGACAGACUCCAACAGACAGAUGAAAAUAUAGACUCGAAAACAGACUAACAAACUCUAACAGAAAGAAAAUACAGACUCGAAUAAACAUCAUGAAUACAUCAAUGUCUCAAAUGCUCCUGGGGCCCGUGGGAUAUCAUUUGGUCUCACCACGGGCCUAUGCGCGAGAUCCUUUUGAAGCUGUUCCAAAUAACUCAUUAUUUGGCAGACAAAUGUCAUCACUGCAGCAAAGAAAGUGGUUUGAGUCAUGUCCUCACAUGCUUGGCACUUCGGCAUUAUGUAGUCGGCAAUGUCCCUAACCCUCUCUCGAAAAAUACCCUUUUCCUGAAGCAAGCGUCCAAUUUGCUAAUUUCGGGCUUCUAGCACGUGAGUGUAAUGUUGGCUUUGAAGUAGUAGAUGUUGCAUAUCUUCUUCCAUCUGGCCAUUAAGGCAUAACAAUGUUCCCUAUUGGCUUUGAUGUUCUUGGCAUGUCUGUCUGCCUCAUUUUCAAGGGUAGUUAUCUUUCUCCUCAGAUUGGUGAUUGUUCCCUCAUAUUUGCUUUCAUUCGUUGCACAAAUUGGGCCCGCCCUUCUGUGUUCUUUACCAGUUGGGUCCGGACUUUUGCUAUACUGGCCUCAAAUUUUUCUAGGUCAUCCUGACACUCGAGUACCUUCUCUAUCUGGUCGCUUAUAAGCCUUUCAUCCGUGUGGCUCCUUUCCGAGUUUCUAGCUGCUAUUCUUAUAUUUCAGAUUUGAGCUUUGAGGGCUUUAUUUUUCUGAGUUAGCUUUUUAUUUUCCCCUUCAUCUGCGGCAGCUUGGAUACUCUUGCCAAAUUUGAGGUCCCGAAUCUGUCCUUCCAGUUUACCUAUUUUGGCUAUGUAGCUUUCUUCCUUCGCCAAUCAGCCCUACUGCUCAUGCGAAUCAUUAGUGAAUUUUUGGACAUGAGCUCUCUUAGUAGGUCUCUCAGGAACCUGAAACCUUUUACCAAACCAAACAUUGUACUUGGGGUCUACCUCUCCCCUAGCAAGAUCUCGCACCAUAGUCUUUGGUUCGAGAAAUCUGCAUUCAUUGCAUAGCUGGCUAACUCGUCCUCCCGGAAAUGUGGCCUUCGGGCUCAAUUCUAUGAAAUGUCUACUCAAAUACUCAUCAUGGAGAAUGGUUUGAAAUCUUCCCAAUUGGUGCAAGACCCUGUGAGGAGCAUAUGGUUGGAUGCUCCGGAUGCCCAUAAGGAGAAGAUACUUCGGCUGACAUGUAUACUGUUUCGGUGGCAGAAAGCUAUCCAAACGCCCACUCAAUUUUAUCAGCAGUCAAAGAGCUCAAGAGUGCAAGCCAAGCCUCAGUUCCCUCGGGAUGUAAUACCCACCACUCGGCUUUCAAAUUCUUUGAUUCUUUCAAUAGGUCAUACUGUGGUUCGUAUACCCAACACGGUAGCAGAGAUGUUCCUAUAUCCACAAUUGCAGUCGUAAGUUGCAACCUUGGAAGAAUUUUCCCCCUUCUUGACAAAUGGUCAGAGCCCGAUAAAUCUCGGAUAAAAUCAGGGGGACCAAAUUUCCAUUAGCUCUCUUAGUUGUGACGUCAACCAUCCCUACGAGGCCCAAUUCUAUGUUACCGCCAUCCCGCGGACAGACUACACUACCCAAGGAUGCUACUAUAAACCAAACCUCGCCUUGCCUCCCACUUAUCUUUAUUUUCGGCAUGAGUCAAACCAGUGUUCGGUGCUUCGAAACCUUGGGGGUUUCCAUUGCGUUGCUAAUGGGCUGAAAAGUGCAAUACCCUUCAGAAAAACUCCUAUUCUGAACGUCCCGGGUAAUGCUCAACAGGUCAAGAAAUUGGUGUAGAGAUAUCGGUCUUGGUAAAAUAGGGUAGAUACUUCUAAGGUUUCCACUAAGGCCGGCGUAACUCGUAAUUUCUUCUAGAGUAGGUGUGAUCUCGAAGUCAGAAAAGCGGAACACAUUGCAAGUCGGAUCCCAAAAAGGUAUCCGAGCUUCAAUCACG
This 2067-nucleotide long non-coding RNA is filed under the name Nicotiana benthamiana. Its description in RNAcentral is "long non-coding RNA (NBEN_LNC023038)". Lineage: Eukaryota; Viridiplantae; Streptophyta; Magnoliopsida; Solanales; Solanaceae. The record is from RNAcentral.